RNAcentral lists this ribosomal RNA (600 nucleotides) under uncultured bacterium. Its description in RNAcentral is "bacterial SSU rRNA". The stretch from base 1 to 445 matches the Rfam family "Bacterial small subunit ribosomal RNA", at positions 92 to 535 of the family's 1533-position model. The record is from RNAcentral.
UGAGAGCGGGUACGGUGCGGAACACGUGUGCACGCUUUAUCUGGGGGAUAGCCUUUCGAAAGGAAGAUUAAUACCCCCAUAAUAUGUUGAAUGGGCAUCAUUUCGAUAUUGAAAACUCCGGUGGAUAGAGAUGGGCACGCGCAAGAUUAAUAGUUGGUGAGGUAACGGCUCACCAAGUCUACGAUCUUUAGGGGGCCUGAGAGGGUGAUCCCCCACACUGGUACUGAGACACGGACCAGACUCCUACGGGAGGCAGCAGUGAGGAAUAUUGGACAAUGGGUGAGAGCCUGAUCCAGCCAUCCCGCGUGAAGGACGACUGCCCUAUGGGUUGUAAACUUCCUUUGUAUAGGGAUAAACCUACCUCGUGAGGGUACUGAAGUACUAUACAAUAACACCGGUUAACUUCCGUGCCAGCAGCCGGGGUAAANUUAACGGGGAGGGGUGGCCAAAGCGUUUAAUCCCGGGGGAUUUAAUUGGGGGGUUUUAAAAAGGGGGUUCCCGGUAAGGGCGGGGAUUCCUGUAAAGGUCCAAGUGGUUGGAAAAUUUCUUCCAAAGUUUUAAAAUUGGUGAAAAAUUGGCAUUGGAUAACUUGGCAAGGUC